Molecule: non-coding RNA, 658 nt
Organism: Rhinichthys klamathensis goyatoka
Lineage: Eukaryota; Metazoa; Chordata; Actinopteri; Cypriniformes; Leuciscidae
Source: the annotation of a RefSeq genome assembly
AUGAUUGAUCUGCAUAUGAAGAACAGAAGCAUCAUUAUGAGAAACUCCACAACAUCAUCCAUGAUCAAAGAGAUUGUAUCACUGUGGUGGACAUUCGGUGGAGGAACUAAACUGGUGAUCAAAUCUGGUCCCACAGUGAAGCCCUCAGUGUCUCUGCUGCCGCCCUCUUCUCUGCAGAUCUCUGGAGACUCAGCCGCACUGCUCUGCCUGCUCAGCUCUUACUCUCCACAGGGGGCGCUGGUGAGCUGGACACUGGACGGGUCAGAGGUCACCGAGGGGGUUCUGACCAGCGCAGAGAGCCAGCAGGACGGCCGCUACAGCCGCAGUAGCGUCCUGACCCUCAGCAAAGCACGCUGGGAAGAGGGAGAGCUGUACGUCUGCAGAGUAACACAUGAUGGAGCUCCUCAUGAGGUCUCGUUCCACAAGAGCUCUGAGUGCUGAUGUUUCUCUCCUGAAGAUGAGCCGUAUCUGAGUGUCCUGUGUCAGGCAGGAUUCACAUGAGUCUAGUGCUGCAGCUGUAGUGCUUUACAACUCCAUACUGAAAGAGUGUGUGUGUGUGUGUGAUCUUUCAAUCUGUGUGUGUGUGUGUGUGUGUGUGUGUGAUCUUUCAAUCUGCUGUGUUUGCUGCAACAUUCAAUAAAGCUUCUCAACAAGUUCA